AAGCGCUUGCAAUCAGACUUUGCAUAUAGUUGAUCAUCCGAUGUUCUCACCGGUGCACUCAAUUGUAUUCAGGCCAGCAUCGGUUUCAGUGGUUGGAUAAAGGCCUUGGGAAUGUAACUUCUUUCGGGGAGUGUUAUAGCCCAAGAUGCAAUGCAGCCUACUGGGACCGAGGACCGCGCUUCGGCUAGGAUGCUGGCGUAAUGGUUGCAAGCGA
Molecule: ribosomal RNA, 214 nt
Filed under: Leotiaceae sp.
Lineage: Eukaryota; Fungi; Ascomycota; Leotiomycetes; Leotiales; Leotiaceae
Description: partial large subunit ribosomal RNA
Source: RNAcentral